CCGCAAGGCUAAAACUCAAAUGAAUUGACGGGGACCCGCACAAGCGGUGGAGCAUGUGGUUUAAUUCGAUGCAACGCGAAAAACCUUACCUACACUUGACAUACUUUGAAUUUUUUAGAGAUAAAAAAGUGCCUUCGGGAACGAAGAUACAGGUGCUGCAUGGCUGUCGUCAGCUCGUGUCGUGAGAUGUUGGGUUAAGUCCUAUAACGAGCGCAACCCUUACCCUUAUUUGCCAGCGGUUCGGCCGGGAACUAUAAGGGAACUGCCGGUAAUAAGCCGGAGGAAGGUGGGGACGACGUCAAGUCAUCAUGGCCCUUACGUGUAGGGCUACACACGUGCUACAAUGGGAGAUACAGACGGUUGCGAAAGCGCGAGCUGGAGCUAAUCUGAGAAAGUCUCUCGUAGUCCGAAUUGCAGUCUGGAACUCGACUGCAUGAAGCCGGAAUCGCUAGUAAUCGCGGAUCAGCAUGCCGCGGUGAAUACGUUCUCGGGUCUUGUACACACCGCCCGUCACACCAUGGGAGUGAAUUGCACCAGAAGGAGAUAGCUUAACCCUCGGGAUGGCGUUUACCACGGUGUGGUCCAUGACUGGGGUGAAGUCGUAACAAGGUA
Molecule: ribosomal RNA, 612 nt
Filed under: uncultured marine bacterium
Lineage: Bacteria
Description: bacterial SSU rRNA
Rfam family: Bacterial small subunit ribosomal RNA
Source: RNAcentral